AGCGAACGCUAGCGGCAGGCUUAACACAUGCAAGUCGAGCGCCAGGUUUCGGCCUGGAGCGGCGAACGGGUGAGUAACACGUAGGUCACGUACCCUAUGGUGGGGAAUACCCCGGGGAAACUCGGAUCAAUGCCCCAUCUGUCCGAACGGAUGAAAGCGCUUCGGCGCGCCAGAGGAUCGGCCUGCGGCCCAUUAUUUAAUCCUAGUUGGUGAGGUAACGGCUCACCAAGGGUACGAUGGGUAGCUGGUCUGAGAGGACGAUCAGCCACACUGGAACUGAGACACGGUCCAGACUCCUACGGGAGGCAGCAGUGGGGAAUAUUGGACAAUGGGCGAAAGCCUGAUCCAGCCAUGCCGCGUGAGUGAUGAAGGCCUUCGGGUUGUAAAGCUCUGUCGUGGGGGAAGAAGUUCUGACGGUACCCCACAAGAAAGCACCGGCUAACUCCGUGCCAGCCGCCGCGGUAA
This 465-nucleotide ribosomal RNA is filed under the name uncultured bacterium. RNAcentral describes it as "partial 16S ribosomal RNA". It matches the Rfam family "Bacterial small subunit ribosomal RNA", at positions 29 to 523 of the family's 1533-position model. The record is from RNAcentral.